Molecule: ribosomal RNA, 288 nt
Filed under: uncultured bacterium
Lineage: Bacteria
Description: partial 16S ribosomal RNA
Rfam family: Bacterial small subunit ribosomal RNA
Source: RNAcentral
UCAGCCUACGGGGGGCAGCAGUGGGGAAUAUUGCACAAUGGGGGAAACCCUGAUGCAGCGACGCCGCGUGAAGGAUGAAGUAUUUCGGUAUGUAAACUUCUAUCAGCAGGGAAGAAAAUGACGGUACCUGACUAAGAAGCCCCGGCUAACUACGUGCCAGCAGCCGCGGUAAUACGUAGGGGGCAAGCGUUAUCCGGAUUUACUGGGUGUAAAGGGAGCGUAGACGGUAUGGCAGGGCUGAUGUGAAAACCCGGGGCUCAACCCCGGGACUGCAUUGGAAACCGUCCG